GCGUGCGUAGCUCAAUGGUGGAGCGCCUGACCGUGACUCAGGAGGUUUUGGGUUCAAGUCCCAUCGCACGCC
This 72-nucleotide transfer RNA is filed under the name Nannocystis sp. RNAcentral describes it as "tRNA-His". It matches the Rfam family "tRNA". Rfam says of the family: Transfer RNA (tRNA) molecules are approximately 80 nucleotides in length. Their secondary structure includes four short double-helical elements and three loops (D, anti-codon, and T loops). Further hydrogen bonds mediate the characteristic L-shaped molecular structure. tRNAs have two regions of fundamental functional importance: the anti-codon, which is responsible for specific mRNA codon recognition, and the 3' end, to which the tRNAs corresponding amino acid is attached (by aminoacyl-tRNA synthetases). tRNAs cope with the degeneracy of the genetic code in two manners: having more than one tRNA (with a specific anti-codon) for a particular amino acid; and 'wobble' base-pairing, i.e. permitting non-standard base-pairing at the 3rd anti-codon position. Lineage: Bacteria; Pseudomonadati; Myxococcota; Nannocystales; Nannocystaceae. The record is from RNAcentral.